Molecule: long non-coding RNA, 458 nt
Filed under: Mytilus galloprovincialis (Mediterranean mussel)
Lineage: Eukaryota; Metazoa; Mollusca; Bivalvia; Mytilida; Mytilidae
Source: RNAcentral
UAAAAACGAAACAACCGCUCUCCAUUUACAUGUUGGCAUUGAUUAUUUAAAUACAAAUAUAUUUGUAAACACGUUUUGAAAGGAAACUAAUGAUUGGUUAAAAGUCUUCCUGUGGCAAAGGACAUGUUUUAUACAGAAAUUGAACAACAAAUAAAAUUGAGAAUGAAAAUGAAGAAUAUAUCAAAGAGACAAUACCGACCAAAGAGUAAACAGCCGAAGGCCACCAAUGGGUCUAUAUCGCAACGAGAACAUCCCUCACCCAAAAGCGGUCAUCAGCUGGCCUAUGAAUACAAUGGUGUGCUGCUUCAGUGAAAAUGGACGUCAAACUAAACUCCAAAACAUACAAAUCAACUAAAAUUAAACAGACAAUACAAGACUAACAAAUGCCGGAGGCUCCUAACUGGGGACAGACGCAAAAAUGCGGCGGAGUUAAAUACGUUUUAUGAGAUCUCAACUCU